RNAcentral lists this ribosomal RNA (300 nucleotides) under uncultured Lactobacillus sp. RNAcentral's name for it is "bacterial SSU rRNA". It matches the Rfam family "Bacterial small subunit ribosomal RNA", at positions 495 to 795 of the family's 1533-position model. Lineage: Bacteria; Bacillati; Bacillota; Bacilli; Lactobacillales; Lactobacillaceae. The record is from RNAcentral.
GAGUAGCAGGUGUCAGAGGAGUCGGGUGUAUGGUGGGUUCGAGCGUUAUCUGGAUUUAUUGGGUGGAAAGGGGCCGUAGGCUGAACGGUAAGUUAGUGGUGAAAGCCUACAGCUUAACUGUGGAACUGCCGUUGAGACUGGCGGACUUGAGUGUGGUUGAUGUAGCUGGAAUGAGUAGGGUAGCGGUGAAAUGCAUAGAUAUUACUCAGAACACCAAUUGCGAAGGCAGGUUACCAAGUCACAACUGACGCUGAUGGACGAAAGCGUGGGGAGCGAACAGGAUUAGAUACCCUAGUAGUC